Homo sapiens (human) is the source of this 189-nucleotide non-coding RNA. Lineage: Eukaryota; Metazoa; Chordata; Mammalia; Primates; Hominidae. The record is from Rfam.
UUUCUUUUUUGGCUUUUUGACUAAGAUCCAAUGUAGCAUGUUUUUUUCAGUUGAAUAACUGAUUUUUUUUGGUCUGAGGACGAUAUAUUUAAGUGGGGUUUUGGAAUAGAAAGAUGAAAUAGGAGCUGGUUUUUUCCACUCUGCGCAUCGACUUGGUAUUGCCGUGUUUCCAAAGAGGGUCAAAACACG